RNAcentral lists this transfer RNA (43 nucleotides) under Apriona germarii. Its description in RNAcentral is "Apriona germari partial tRNA-Leu". Lineage: Eukaryota; Metazoa; Arthropoda; Insecta; Coleoptera; Cerambycidae. The record is from RNAcentral.
UUGGACUUAAACCCCAAAUAUAAAGUUAAGGCUUUUUUUAGAA